CUCUUCGUUAUAUCGCAACGUUAACGUAUACGUGGCACAAGCAAAAUUACAUAAUCGAUAAUUCUAAGUAAUUGUCAACGAUUAUGUAAGAUUCACUUGAUAAAUUCAAGAGUCCAAUAGUGUAACUCUCUAGUUCUUCUCUGAUAACUAGUUGACUGUACUAACCCUAUCUAUUUCUACACUACUUAUCAGCAAAGUAUAUAUACAUGAACAUACAUAGAUUUCCUUUAGUUGUGGCGGGGCGUAGUUGAGAUGCAUUGGAUGCAUGUACUUUACAUUUAAUUUUUCAUGUAAUUUUUAUCAUCAGGUAACAACAAUACUAUAAAUUUGUUCUAAACGGAAUUUAAACAUUUUUCUUUUACUUUUCAGCGGACUGAUAUUCAAUAAAACUACAAUAUUUUAUUCAAUAAAUCUACAAUAUUUUACGAAUCUAUUGAAUAUUUACAUGUAUAGAUUUAUUCCAACUGAAAAAUUCAAAUCGCUUGUGCCUUGUAUGUAGCCUUUUCUGUAUAACUUUAACAGUGUAUUAUACAAAAUAAUAAUACUACUGGACUAUGGAUGCAUGUGAGCAACAUCUUGAUAUUACGAUAGAUGAAAAUGAAAUUUUUGAUGGCGUUAAAGGUGUUAUAAAGAAAAUUAGACCGUCAUGGCCUUUACAGCAGCUGCAUUUUAAGACAUUUACUAACGGAAUAUCAAAUAAAUUAGUAGGGGUAUGGCACUUGGAUCGUUAUACGGAUAUGGUUUUGACUAGAAUCUAUGGGAACAACACAGAUUUGCUGGUUGAUAGAAAAAAGGAAUUAGAAAAUAUUCGGAUACUGCACAAGGCUGGUUAUACCCAUUGCAUUUACGCUACAUUUAACAAUGGAUUCGCCUAUCAAUUCUUGGAAGGCGACACGCUGACAGUGGAAGCGGUCAGGGACCCACAAGUAUACCCAUUAAUAGCAAGACGUCUGGCUGAGAUGCACAAAGUUGAGAAUGAGAAUAUACCGAAAGAAGCGUUCAUCUGGGAAAAGAUGGAGAAAUAUAUGGAAAUUAUGCCGAGAAAGUUUUCCGAUUCCCUUAAACAAACGAAGUUCGAGAUAUUGAUACAACCAUACGCGGUAUUGGAAAAGGAAUAUCAAAUAUUGAAGGAGGAACUUUCGACAUUGGACAGUCCUGUGGUGUACGCUCACAAUGACCUUUUGCUGACAAACAUUUUGUACAAUCGGCGGAAAAAGAGCGUUGCUUUUAUCGAUUACGAAUAUACCGCAUUUAAUUAUCAGGCAUUCGACAUUGCCAAUCAUUUCGCGGAAUAUGCCGGUCUCGAACCUGUACCCAACUAUUCCUUGUAUCCGGACAAAGAAUUCCAAAAAGUGUGGUUGAGAGAAUAUUUGCGAACGUACAAUGCGACGAGCGAGGUGUCCGAAGAAGAAGUCGAUAAGUUGUAUCAAGAAGUUGCUAAAUUCUCCCCCUUUCCGCACUUCUUUUGGGGCUGCUGGUCUCUCAUUCAAAGCAUGCAUUCGACCAUCGAUUUCGACUUUUUGGAGUAAGUAAAUGUUGACAAAUUUCGAAGAAAAUUUCUGUAUACAAGAAAGCCAGUAGCGGUAGCUGAUCGUGGGAAAAUUACUUUGUUAACCGAAUACAUCGGUGUUAGAAAGGUUCCCAAUACGCCGCGGCACGUUUUAACGAAUAUUUCAGGCGGAAGGAAGACAUUUCUGAGUUGAAGAUAGAUAAUGAAUGAAUAAGUAGCGU
RNA transcript from Dinoponera quadriceps, 1731 nucleotides. It is a transcript of the gene named ethanolamine kinase 1, with no coding region annotated. The transcript has 7 exons. Lineage: Eukaryota; Metazoa; Arthropoda; Insecta; Hymenoptera; Formicidae. The record is from RefSeq and is a predicted model, not a curated record.